RNAcentral lists this long non-coding RNA (784 nucleotides) under Mustela putorius furo (domestic ferret). RNAcentral's name for it is "lncRNA (ENSMPUG00000026875.1)". The record is from RNAcentral. Lineage: Eukaryota; Metazoa; Chordata; Mammalia; Carnivora; Mustelidae.
AAAGAAUUCUCAAAAUACCUCAGUGAACAAGAAUUAUAUAAUAAAUUUAAACAGGUUGCUGUAAUAUUUUUUUAUGCAUUUGUGAUCUUAUAUUGUUCAAAGUAAUAAAAACAUUGUACCCCAUAAACACUUGGUCAUACUUGUAUCUUAGCCUCAUUUUUCUUCCACUGAAUCAUUCUUUCCUCCAUUAGGCAUCGAGCAAGCCGUCUCCAAGCAUGAAACAUCAUUCACCUCAUUUCAGACAGACUCUGUGACAAAUUACAGCCUCCUCAGACAUUAAAAAUACAUUGAUCAAGAGAAGUUGUAAGACAUGGAAGAAAAAUUAAUCCAUACCCCUCUUAGAAAGAAAAGAAGAAACCACUUUUGAGAAUGACCUUUGGCUGAACAGACCAUCAAAUCUUAAAGGUACCUGCCAGUUUCGCAUGCCUUCUGAGGACACUGAAGAAUAUCUUCAUAAGAUGCUGGAGCAAAGUCUCAGAAGAGAACACAUGGAGACAACAGGUGAUAAAUAUAAAGGCCUUCGUGGGUUCUCAGAUACUAUUUACAACUUUAAAGAGCAACUGAAUGAUUUUGGACCUCUCUUGAAAUUCAAAACAAAUUGGAAGCCAGACGGUGGUUACCCAUAAUCCCCACAUGAGAUGAAAAUCAGGAAGCCCAUCUGCUUGAAUUACCCAUUUCCACAUGGAAGUUAGGAUCUCCAGCUAUUCAUAAUCUGGUGAGUCAUUUCAUUUUUUUCUUUUCUUAUGUGUGCCAAAGGAAAUUUCUGCUGAGGAAUAUAGGGUUC